GUCCGGCCGUUCUGCUAUCGAUAGUGCACCUACGUUUAGUGCUACCAAAUUUUUCACCGUUAGAUCUAAUCCUUUAAUCAAUUUUCAUCCGUUAAAUCAUACUAUUCAAAUCAACCAUCCACUCAACACUAUAGUUAGUUAAUUAGGAUUCGGCAAAAAUUCAGUAUGAGUAUAAUUCGAAUAAAAUUCGUAUCUCAAUUUUUAAUUUGUUAAAAAAUACGGUUUAAAAAACGGAUUCACCAAUUAUUCGAAUAAGCGAUUUAUACGGAUAUUAUAUGUUCACCAAUUAACAAUUCGGGAUAAAAAAUUUGACUAUUAAACUAAGAUUUUUUUCUCUAGAUUUAUGCUAUUAGCAUACAUAGUUAUAAAUUCUUAAAAAUAUAUAAAAAAAAGAGAGCUACAAAAUAAAGUAAAUUAAGUAAAAAAAGGAAGGCCUUUUUGCAAAAAAAAUCCACUUAUUUUGGGCUUUUGCAAAACCGGGUCACCUUUUUCGUUUUUGCAAAUUCGGUCCGCUUUUUCAGCAAACUGACCAAAAUACCCUUAUUACUUUUUCUCUUUCCUCUUUCUCUCUCCUCUUCGUUUCUUCCUUCUUUUUUUUU
This 599-nucleotide long non-coding RNA is filed under the name Ananas comosus (pineapple). Its description in RNAcentral is "long non-coding RNA (ACOM_LNC010018)". Lineage: Eukaryota; Viridiplantae; Streptophyta; Magnoliopsida; Poales; Bromeliaceae. The record is from RNAcentral.